CCAGCAUUCAGUUGCGCACUCUAAGGUGACUSCCGGUGACAAACCGGAGGAAGGUGGGGAUGACGUCAAAUCAUCAUGCCCCUUAUGMCCUGGGCUACACACGUGCUMCAAUGGAUGGUACAAAGGGCUGCGAGACCGCGAGGUUAAGCGAAUCCCAUAAAACCAUUCUCAGUUCGGAYUCCAGGCUGCAACUCGCCUGCAUGAAGCCGGAAUCGCUAGUAAUCGCGGAUCAGCAUGCCSCGGUGAAUACGUUCCCGGSCCUUGUACACACCSCCCGUCACACCACGAGAGUUUGUAACACCCGAAGUCGGWGGGGYMACCUCUGGASCCCAGGCYCCCUUUUA
Molecule: ribosomal RNA, 344 nt
Filed under: Bacillus sp. (in: firmicutes)
Lineage: Bacteria; Bacillati; Bacillota; Bacilli; Caryophanales; Bacillaceae
Description: Bacillus sp. (in: Bacteria) partial 16S ribosomal RNA
Rfam family: Bacterial small subunit ribosomal RNA
Source: RNAcentral